UUUUAUACUGGAUCGUGUGACAGGAGAGAAACUACACAAGUGUUCCUUAAUGUUGUGGCUGUUUGGGUUCCUGGCAUGCUGAUUUGUGAUUUAAGAUUAAAAUCACAUUGCCAGGGAUUACCACAUAACCAUGACACUGCAUCCUAUU
This 148-nucleotide microRNA precursor is filed under the name Pelodiscus sinensis (Chinese soft-shelled turtle). Its description in RNAcentral is "microRNA 23b (ENSPSIG00000019547.1)". The stretch from base 57 to 130 matches the Rfam family "mir-23 microRNA precursor family". The record is from RNAcentral. Lineage: Eukaryota; Metazoa; Chordata; Testudines; Trionychidae.